ACGAACGCUGGCGGCGCGCCUAACACAUGCACGUCGAACGAGCGAGAGAGAGCUUGCUUUCUCGAGCGAGUGGCGAACGGGUGAGUAACGCGUGAGGAACCUGCCUCAAAGAGGGGGACAACAGUUGGAAACGACUGCUAAUACCGCAUAAGCCCACGACCCGGCAUCGGGUAGAGGGAAAAGGAGCAAUCCGCUUUGAGAUGGCCUCGCGUCCGAUUAGCUAGUUGGUGAGGUAACGGCCUACCAAGGCGACGAUCGGUAGCCGGACUGAGAGGUUGAACGGCCACAUUGGGACUGAGACACGGCCCAGACUCCUACGGGAGGCAGCAGUGGGUAAUAUUGCACAAUGGGGGAAACCCUGAUGCAGCGACGCCGCGUGGAGGAAGAAGGUCUUCGGAUUGUAAACUCCUGUUGUUGAGGAAGAUAAUGACGGUACUCAACAAGGAAGUGACGGCUAACUACGUG
RNAcentral lists this ribosomal RNA (465 nucleotides) under uncultured bacterium. RNAcentral's name for it is "partial 16S ribosomal RNA". It matches the Rfam family "Bacterial small subunit ribosomal RNA", at positions 29 to 507 of the family's 1533-position model. The record is from RNAcentral.